AGCGGUCAGUGGCAUUCCUUCCAGGAGCACCACACUAGUUGGGGCUCCAGGUCUCCCACACUCGGCUCUCGCCCUGCAGAGCGCAGCUCCCCUGGGUGAUUUUCUUGCUGGCUGAGUGGCAGUCAGCACUCUGGGAGGCUGCUGGGUCAGUGUCCUAACUGAGCACUCCAGGAGCAGGGCUAUGCUGCUCCCAGGUCAGCUGCCUGUCCCCAGGAGUUUUGAUGUGUCGUGCUACCUGUGUGGGAAACUGCCUCCUCCUUCGCUGUUCCACUUGUGCCUGACAGCAGUGCAUUUGCAGAAAGGAAAACAGCACUGUCUCCUGAUGCACUCACAGAAGCGUAUCUACUCCCACCCCUGCUGAGGGUCCUCGGGAGUCGAGUCUGGACCGCCGGGGUCAUCUGCCCCAGAGUGAGGAGAACCUGACACCAGUGUCAGGAGGAGGAGGUCAGUGCUCCGGAGGAAAACACAUCUUCAAAGUAUAAGGGGAACAUUGCUGGGGUGCUUAAGUAUCCUCGUGAAUAAAGCGGGUCCCCACCCUCGAGAUUUACAGCCUAGUGGGGAUGGCAGCAUGUAAGGAACACUUGUCCGAGGGGAUGGAUUAGCAAGGGUCUGUGGAGCGGUGGGGGCUGUAGGUAGGAGGCCCAGCCUCCCAGGCAGUGCUGGGGGGAACUGGGAUGGCUGUGAGCCAGUGACACAGAUGCCUUCCCAGCCCGGGGCUCAGCAGAGAAAUCGGCCAGAGGCGAAGUCCUGAGCCUGGUGCGCUGUGUGUGGAACCAGGGCAAGAACAGGAAGGCAGUGUAGAUGUGGCCUGGAAGAUGGGCUGGGUUGUUUCCUCUCUGUGGAAUGAAUGCUCACCCCUAAGGGCACCUAGGUGACCGGCGUAGGUUACAGUCAGGAGGAGAGAACCCUGAGUUUUCCUGAGGGCUCCAACUCUAUGGGCACAGGCACUGGUGAAGAUUUUUCGGAUCCAAGCUGCGCUGAGAAGCUCCCUGGAGUAGCAGUGAAGGAUGUGUGGCAGGGUGACACACACUGUGCUGUCACUGGGACAAAAUGCCUGAGAUAAUCAACUAAGGGAAAGCUGCAACUAAGGCUGCAGCUCACAUUUCCAGAGGUUUCAGUCCUUGGUCCUCGGGACCAGUUGCUAGGGCCGAGGUAAGGUGUUCAUCAUGGCCAGAGCAUAUGGCAGGGGAGGCUGCAAACUUCACAGGGCCCAGGAAGCAGAGAGAGAGAGCCAGGAAGCGGCUGGGGUCCCGGCAUCCUGUCGAGGCCACGCCCCAAUGACCUCACUUCCUCCCACCAGCCCCCACUUCCUAAGGUUCCUGCCACCUCCCAACAGUGCCAUAGGCUGGGGACCAGGCUUUGGGGACACUUGUAAUCCAGACCGUGACAGCAGAGGUCACCUCGGUGGUCCAGGCAGGAGAUGGAAGAGGGAGGGACGUGCACAGGGCACUCAGGACUCUGGCCAGUGUCCUAGUGCUGGUGACACAUGGCAACUGGCCAGAAGGGAGCAAGCAGGAAGACCUAGCUUGAGGAUCAGGGUUCUAACUCACAAGCAAGGCCGCAGGGGACUGAUGCAAAGCAGGGGCUGGGUCUGCAGCUCCGAGGAAAGGUGGGCUGCUCUGCACACCUCCGUGCCCUCCUGGCAGGGCUUCCAGUCUGUGCCCACACUGGAGCUGGCAAGGCCUUGGCGGUCCCUUGUGCUGCCCCCACCCAGGGCCGCAGAGUAAGGGCUGCUCCCUACCUGCGGGCUGCACAUGACCGGUGUGCUCCGCACCAUGGAUCCUGUGCAGGCAGAGAGCACCAGAGUCCACCACUGAGCGCCUGGGACUCCUGUGCUGAGGUUGGAGUGGCACUCAAAGAGUGGAGGUUGGGCGCCCUCCUCCUGCUGCGCCCACCCUAGGUACCCCGGGGGUGCGGUGCUCAUGACCGUGCUGCCUGGGACCCCAGCCCUCCGUGGGCAUCGCCUUCCCAACGUGGGCAGCCCUGGGCCCAAGCUGAGCCAGCCCUCCUGUCAUCCUGAAGCAGGACUGGAGCAGCAGCUGGGGCGCCUGGGCAGUGGGCCCAGGCAGUGAGAGGAGGGGCCCAUAGGAGAGGUGCAGGGCACCCCUGAGUGCAGGCAGCAGACCAGCUGCAGGGUGGGAGGAGCUGAGGCCGAAGGGGCAGGAAGAAGGCUGCAGAGAGGCCCACGGGCUGGGCGGACGUGCUGCACUGGGAGGGCGCGACCAGGGGAGGCUGCACGGCCCACAGAGGCGGGAGAGCUGGCCCUGUGGCUGGGGAGCUCGGCCCUUUCAGAGGAGGAGCUGCCCACGGUGCACACCACCCAAGCAUGGGGGCAGGGGGACACUGCCGGAACCAGGGACCGGGCCUGGCCUUCCCCGGGAUCGUGAGUCAAGGACAGUGACCUACGUCAGCAGAGGAGGACCACGAGGCUGGCUGGGGCUACCAGUGCCGCCACACCAAGGUGCAGCAAAGGGCGGCACUUGGGGACAGAGCCAGGAAGUUCCUCAGCUCUCAGGCCUCCGUCCCUUGCCUGUGACAGGGCCCACAGAGGACCUGCAGAGGACAGAUGGCGGUGGGGAGCUGCAAGCUUGGCUGGUGCUCCGAGAGGAGUGAGGGCAGCCUGUGGAGUCGUGCUCAGCGUGCAGCCACGCGCCUCCUGUGCCCAGGGCCGGCCCAGGUCCCCGCUGUCAGGCGCAAGUCCUCCGUGCAGUGCCGUGAUGUCUGUGUGUCCCGACGUGGCCUCCCACACAGUUCACACCAUCUCAGCUUGCUCACGGCGUCCAGCGCAAAGAGAAGGCCGUGCGAGCGUCGCAGCACUUGCUCACAGGGACAGUGACGAGGAGGAAGCCUGCUGGCGCAGCACAGAAGCACUUUAUCCCAGUGUUUUCCAGCUGAAGCUGGCUGAGCCUGAGCGUGCACGGGCCGACUGCACCCUGGCUCCCGGCCCUAGCCCAGCACCUCUCGUUCUUCAGCUGCUGAUGGGGGCUGGGGACCCAGGGCUGCGGGGUCCACCUGGGAGCCCGGGACCAGGCAUCAUGUGAGCACAGGGACCCUGGCCUGGCUGAGGGAAGUGUCAAGGGCAGAGGCCCAGUGUGCAGGCUGCUUCCUGAAGCUCUGCUGUCCCCGUCAGGACUGGAACCUGCUCUGAAAUGGCUGGGAGUGGCAGGAUGGACCCCACUCAGACGGAAGGGACCGACCUUCAUAAUCAAUGCCUUGACAACCAAAGCCCGGUACUCGGUACUCAGAGGCCCCAUCUCUCCUGCCCCCAGGCCUUCCUCCUCCUCCCUCCCCGUGAGAGUCUUGGUUUCAGAGUUGGUGGGGAUCCUGGGUUCCCCAUUCCCCUCCUCUGGCCCCUGGGAGUUCUCCUUCCUGAGUCUUUCUAUUCCAGGAAACUCACACAGGGCGGGUGUGAGGCUCAGCCGGAGAGUGUGUGCUUGGCAUGCAUGAGUUCAAGCCCCAGCUGCAAACAGAAGGAAAAGAAAAUACCCAGAAACUUCAUGUAAGGGGAAUCCACCCUGUUUGUUCUGUGUUUGUGGUUGAUUAUGCUUAAUAGAGUGUCUCCAGCAUUCAUCCUUAUAGUAGCACGGCACAAUUCUAUCCGGUACAAUUCUAUCCUCCAGGGCUGUCGUGAUCCCUUAUGCGUACACGAUUUUGCGAGUUUACUCAUCCUGGGUUGGUCCCACCUUUACCACUGUGAACAUAGUGGUGCUUAUCUGUUCGGUUUCUGCUUUCACUUCUUUGGGGUGUGCCAGAGGCGAAAGUGCUGUCCUGGGACUUCACGCUUCAGUCUGGAGCCAGGAGGGUUGUGAGCGCUCCUGGUUCUAAGGCGCAGCCAGAGCCAGGAGCCUGGAGGUCAGGCUGCAGCUGAACUUCCUGCCGUGACUUAGCCCUCUGGGAAGAAGCCACAGCCCAGGUCAGCUAAAGCAGCCUCCCAGAGGGGACCCCACACUGCGUUCCCACUGCCCCGUGAGUCCCAGCAGCGGCAGGUUGGGGGGACCCCUGUGUGCACUGGCACCUCUCAGGUCCCAGCCACGCCCUGCUGGGAAUGCAGACUCUGAGGGCCCAGAGCGGCUUCCUCCCCGCAGCCCUGGUUACUCUAGUAUGCAGCCCGCUCAGACCUGCUGACCCUGUUCAGUCCUGGCAAAAGCGAGAACCCGGCCGAGGUGCAGCUCUGGGGCUCGGGUUGGAUUGCUAAGGGACAUGGUGGUAUUGAGCACAGUGAGGCCACAUUGGUCCUGAGGUGGGAGGAAAAAAUACAGGUAGAAAGGGCGAGGAAAUAAUUGUAAUGUUUGAGAAAACUGCAGCUUCCAGACAAGGUCAAAGUUAUCCAAGGUUCCAGUCCUCUCACCGAGUCCUGUUUCUUUCUUCCAGCUCCGCCCUCCUAAGUUCCUAAGAGUCUUAAGAUCAUGUUAUCCGUAAACCGGAUCUGUGUUUUUCUUCCAGUCCUAUAAAUUCACAAUUCCACGGGCUGCCACCCUUGGGGAAACAGCACCAUUUAUGGGGCACGUUGCCUCUGAACUUCACGUACAUGCUUCUAACAUGCACUCAGUACAUUGAUCUUAACUGAGGUCAUGGGGUCUGGUUUUUCUUUAGCCCACUAAUGGGUAACCUGACAGACUCAGGUAACUUAAGCAUAACUCAAAGGGUAAACAUCCCAGUCACCCAUCUCGAGGACACCCCUAGACCACACAGAUCUCCCCUGGAUCCUAAUCCUGCCAUAAUAUUUGUUUUGAAAUUUGAAUUUGUUUCCAAUACCAGUGAUAUUAGGGAACAUUGACAUAUUAGGGAGGAUUAUUAUUAAUUUUUUUGGUACCGGGGAUCAAACUCGGGUCCCUUGUGCUUGCGCAGCAGGCGGCGAAACCACUGAGCUAAAUCCCCAGCCCUAGGGAGGAUUACUGAUACAUCACACUCCGGGAUCCAUGUAUCACCCUGUCUAGAGUGCUCUCGGGGCUCCCACCCCAAGACACAGGCUUUCUUUGGAUCUUGGGAGAAGCCCCCAGAGCCCAUAACCUGCUCGCAUACCCAGCACACCAGGAAGGCGUGCUGCAGCAGCCUGCGAACCAGGGCCCAGGAAGGCUGAGGUGCUCUGGGCAAGCAAGGCACCCAGGGGUCUGUCUCAAAAGACUCUUGGAACAGACUUUCAGGGGCUCAGAGCGGUGGGCGUGGCCCUGUCCCUUCCUGAGGUGCCCAUGGGGCAUCUUUCCUGUCUGUCAUUCCCCUGCCAAGCAUUUCAUUUACUAACCACAUCCUCCUUGGCCCAAGCCCUGCACCCACCUCCACUUGCAAUCGGACUUCCAUCUUCACAAGCCAGGAGCCACAUCUACUACAGUAUUUAUUUCUUUUCUUUUAUUUUUUUGGUACCAGGGAUCGAACUCGGACCUUGAGCUUGCGAGGAAUGUGGUGGAACCACUGAGCUAAAUCCCUGGCAGUGUUUGUGUAUUUCUUAAUCAUUGAACAUGGCUGACACUCUGCUAUUAUUCUCAUUCGGUUCCGCCUUUUCCUGUGCUGCUGAUGUUGGGAUUUUGCUGUUUUUUGUUUUUGUUUGGUGGCUAGGAUGGGACCCUGGGCCCCUCCCAUGCUAAGCACGUGCUGUCACUGAGUGUGGCCCCUGGCCCCACUGGCCAAGGGCUUUGUGUGGUUUUCUGUUUUGUUUUGUGGGGCCAGGGAUCUAUCAGUGGUGGGUUUUGAAUGUUUUACUCAUUUUCACCAAAACCCUGUGGUUUUUAGCAUGUGGUUAUAUAGUGCCGUGGUUUUCAAGCAGGAGCGCGUAUCUCCUGGUGGAACCAGCCACAGAAGCCAUCCUGCUUUGUAUCAGCCUUGUAAGGAUGCUGAGGAGAUGCUGCCCAUGGAGGAUUUAGAUCUUGUCCCCUUCUGUCCUCUCCUGGCAGCCACCGGACAUAGAGCUCUCUGAUGGGGUGGUGCCUGCCACAGUGGCCAGGGGGAGGAGCAGGUGGCCACAGCACGACCCACUCCCUGCACGUGUGUGCAGUGGCCUCGGGCCACUCCGUCUGCUCUGCUGGGUCCCUGUGUCCAUGUCGCCCAGGCCCUUGCCUGCUGCCCCGUGCCAUGUGGACUCGGGUCUCGAGCUCUGUCUUCCUGAGGCUGGGCUCGGUGUGCAGCAGCCCACCUGGCUCGUGUCCUCUUCAGACAGGAAGAGUCCCUGGGUCACAAAGCACUUACCUCAGUGCAGGGGGCACCGGGCGCACCUCCCUACACCUCUGACCGCAGCGCUGCCUCUCCCGAGACCCCCACGCACAGCUGGCCUGGCCCCUGCCCUCCACCCUGAAAUCCGCUUCCGAGGUAAAAAUGACUCACUUCAAGCCCUUCGGUACUUCACGAGCACACAGGUCUGCGUGGUGUCCAUGAUACAACACAAGCCCGAACAGUUUUCUUUAUGUCUCGUCUGCGUAUUCCGCUGGCUUCAUCCACCGUACUUCACCUUUGGCUUCCCUAUUAGGAACUUGAAUUUCUGCUGUCCUGCUUAUGUGUUGUUAGGGGCUGUCUUUCACUCAUCAUCACCCCAAAGUCAGGGUCAGGCUGCCUGGUUCUAUGGGCACACUUAGAAGCCAGUGCUGAGUCAUCCAAAGACAGAACUGAAACUGAAAACGCUAACUCUGCUCUGAGCUGGCAUUCUCACAGCGGUCUGUUGGCUUUCGCUGUGUGGUUGCCUAAGAUGAGGACUCGUCCUGAGGUUUGGAUAAAACAGGGGCUGCAAAACUGUCAGCAACUUGGGGAGUUAGUGCUUUCCUGCAGAUAGUGGUUCAGCAUCAGAACAUGUUCACCUUUCGGCCGCUGAAAAUCCUCAUUUGUGAAGUCCAAGUUUCUGUUCUCUUUUCCUCUAGAACAGCAGUCAGCAAACUGCAGCCUGUGUUUAGACUGAAAAGCCUAAAAUAUUUACCAUGCUCCUCACAGUGGAGUUUGCCAGCCCCUGCUCUGGAACUCAAAGUGCCGGGUCAUUCUGUAUAAGUUAAAGAUUCUCACCGUGAUGCUGAAACGGGGCCUCAGCAGGUCGGAGCCUCCAACCCCAGGUGCAGCAUUUGGUUUGGGAUGCGAAUGUGCAGCUUUGGAAGACAACCCCACGCCCUCCAAGGGGGUCUGUGACUUCAAAACCCGAGAGUCCCUUCCCGCCGUGUUUCCCAUGCGGGCUGAGUGCAUAACUCACAGCAGCACCCUCAGCCGUGGGAGGCUGAUCUUGUCCGGCCUUGAAGGUCGUGCUGGAAUGCACUUCACCCUGCAGGGUGGGAGCGCUACACAAAGCACGAGGACUGUGGUCCUUCCCUGGGCAUCGCUCUCCUCCUUGGCUCUCAGGCCUGACUCCCCUGACCUGGUUUCCUCUGCCGCACAACCUCGCCUGGGUGCACUGAAUAGGGACCCUGCUUCAUGCCUCGAGCCUGCAUCCACAGCUUCCGGGAUCGCAGCCGGGGACCCCCACACACCUUGGCUUGACCUGAGGGGCUACUGCAGCCGGGGCCUCGGAUCCCUCCCUCCAAGCAUCUGUCUCUCUCCGCCCACUCGAGUCCCUUUUUAGCCCUGCUUUGUCAAUCAUGAUUUAUAUUUGAUCUUAUCAUCGAUGCAAUGUGGUCACCACAAAUGAGACAGUCACAGGCUGCGCAUGUGGAGAGAGUAAACAGCACCCAGAGAGAUCCUGGCUUUCAUCUCAGGGGGCCUGUGAGAACCCAGCAGAAAGAACCGGACAUCUGAACCCUGGACCACAGGUGUCAGGUGCAGCCCCUCCCCGCACUGCUGUGAAACCCAUAAGCAGAGCAUCAUCUGCCUUCCAUACAAUCUUGAAUCAAUAUAAUGCCCCAACUGGGACAUAAAAGGGAAGAAUUUAUGGUGAGUUGAUGUGCACUUCCUUGUGAAUGCCUGGUACAGCGACAGUAGAAGACAAAAUGAGGCAGGUGGACAUUCACGCCGACUUGUUCGAAAAAAAGUUUAGAUUUAAGUGAAAUAAGAUAAUAUUCAACUGACGCUUUUUAAAUUACACUUGACAUUCUGAAAGGAAGACCGCAUGAAUUUGCUUAUAUGUAAGCAGUCGCCGGUAGGGCAGCAUAGAAACAGUCAUCCUCCUGUUCCUGGUUCCCAGCGGGCCUGGCGUGGAGAAGAGAUCUUCUGACACGCACAGUCAUACUGUGUAGAGUUCCAAGGUUCAGCCUUCCCCAGAGUAACAGGCAGCUGCAUUCCUGGAAACGCAGUGACGAUCGGAGCAUGUGGCGCUUUGGACUAGGUGUUCAGCCUUCGGGGUGCUGGCAGACGUCCUACCACCCUGCGGCGCUGCCUGGUCCUGGGAGGCACAAGGCUGCUGUGCUUCCAGGCCUGGCCCCUGGGGGUACUCCCGCCCCUCCCUGUGAGGACCGAAAGGGCCUGGACGGCUGCUGCAGAUCCACAGAGAGCUCCCCAGGCCGCUGCCCCCGCCACGAGCCCCCGCACUAGCGUCCGUUAAAACGCUGGCUAUACCUGUGUCUAAUGGGAGCAGACAGUGAGUACAUACGCAGAUGGGCAAGAAUACCAAGGGGGUUUGGGCAGAAGGUGGUAAAUUGAUGGGACCCGGCUCUCUCCUGCUCCUCAGUGGGGACAGGAUGUGGGUGACAGACGCGAGGGUGAGGUCCCUGCGACCUCCCCUCUGUUCUCCUCACAGGACCCAGCACAGUCCUUAGGACACCUGUGCUAAACUUAGCACCUCGCUCUGCUGCUGCUCACGCUAGCCAACCACUCACCCCAGACAGAGGGCAACCUCCGCCGCGGGACUCCGGGCGUGCCCUGGGCUGUGGUCGCAACGAGCACACCACACAGAUGUCAGCAUGUGCGCGGUGCCUGGUACAGCCCACGACGCUGUGGACACAACACAGCAGCGUGGUCUGGGUGGCGAGGGGUCAGCGUGCCCGGACCAGCCGGGAUCCCAGAGAUGAGCUGGAGGCUGGGCACGGGAGGGGAAGCAGUGGAGCAUUUCCCACCCCUCGGGGGACCUUGGGGCUGGAAGGGGCCCAGUCCCCUCCUGCAGCAUUGUGCAUUUCCCUCGGCAAAUCUUGAAGGAAUGAACAAGCAUAGUUACUGCAACUGAACAGGCAAGUUUUAGGGCUGGGGACUUAGCUCAGUGGUUCUGCUGCCUGCCUUGCAAGUGCAAGGUCCCGAGUUUAAUCCCGGUACCAAAACAAGAAGAAAGAAUAGAUAAGUUUUGCUGGUUUUGUUUUUUGUUUUGUGGUGCUGGGGAUAUCGGAACACAGGACCUGUGCCUGCUAGGCAGACGCUCUCCCUGCUGAACUGCGCCCAGCCCCAGCCCCAGCCCGGGCCACGCUUCGUAGAUCCCUGGCGUGGUGGCCAGCAUGUGGAAAAUGCAGCAUGAAGAGCGUGACAGAAAUGUGUGAUGAGCAGCCUGGUCUACACCAGCAACGUCUGCCAACGGCCCUCUCCUGGGACAGAGGAGCAAGGGCCCAGGGAGCAGCACACCAUAGGGUCCCCAGGUCCUGGCCCCGUGCAGUGCCUCGGGCUGAGCCGCUGUUUCUCCACUCCUUCCUCCGUAGGACCAUGGCAGGUCCCCUUGACCUCCUCGUGGGCAUGGUGCUCCUGGCCAGCCCUGCGCUCGGGAUCCCGGCCUGCUCCUCCGAUGGCCAGGUGGCUCUAUUUCGUUUCCUGCAACCUCACCCAGGUCCCCCCAGGUCCUCAACACCACCAAGAGGCUCCUGCUGAGCUCCAACUACAUCGGGACGGUCACAAGCACGUCCUUCCCUUUCCUGGAGCAGCUCCAGCUGCUGGAGCUCGGGGGCCAGCUGACACCCCUGACCAUCGGGCCAGAGGCCUUCCGGAACCUGCCCACCCUCAGGAUCUUGGACCUGGGUGACAGCAAGAUGCAUGCCCUGCAUCUGGAUGCUUUCCAGGGUCUGCCCCAGCUGCUUGAACUUAGACUGUUUUCCUGUGGUCUCUCGGAUGCUGUGUUGAGAGAUGGUUAUUUCAGAAAUUUAAAUUCCUUAACCCACUUGGACCUGUCUGUAAACACGAUUAGCAGCCUUUACCUUCAUCCUUCAUUUCAAGGACUAAAUUCCUUAAAGUCUGUGGAUUUUCUUUCAACCAAAUCCCCACUCAUAUGUGAGGGUGAGCUCAGCCCACUCCAAGGGAAGACGCUGUCUCUUCUCCGCCUCAGAAUGACGAAGGUGUACAUGAGGGGCGUGGACUGGGGGAAGUGUGGGAACCCCUCCGAAGCCUGCAGCUGGAGACCCUCGACGCUUCUGAGAACGGCUGGACCGUGCCCAUCAUGGGAAACUUCAGCAACGCCAUUGAGGGGAGCAAGGUUUCCUCUUUGAUCCUUCAGUACCACAUCAUGGGGGCUGGGUUUGGCUUCCGUAACAUCAAGGAUCCCGACCGGAGCACGCUUGCAGGCCUGGCCAGAAGCUCGGUGAGGAGCCUGGAUCUCUCGAAGGGGUUCAUCUUCUCCCUGAACCCCCGGCUCUUUGAGACGCUCAAGGACUUGAAGGUCCUGAACCUUGCCCACAACAAGAUAAACAGGAUCUUAAAUGGGGCCUUUGAAGGGCUCGAUGGCCUCCAGGUCCUCAAUCUGUCAUUUAACCUCCUGGGGGAGCUGUAUAAUUCCGACUUCCGGGGGCUGCCCAGUGUAGCAUACAUUGACCUUCAGAGGAAUCACAUUGGGAUCGUUCAGGCCCAAACCUUCAGAUUCCUGGGGAACCUAGAGACCUUGGAUCUCUCGGGACAAUGCUCUUAAGACCAUGUCUUUUAUUCCGAGCAUACUUACUGUCUUUCUAGGUGGCAACAAACUGGGGACUUUGCCACAUCAAUCUCAGCGUUGACUUCAUGCAGUUAUCAGCAAACAGGCUAGAAAAUCUGGCCGAUCUCUACUUCCUCCUCCAGGUGCCUCAUCUCCACACGCUCAUCUUAAAUCAAAAUCGCCUUUCCUCCUGUCCACCAGGCCUUAGCCCUGCAGCGAGCCACAGCUUAGAAAAACUUCUCCUUGGAGAAAAUAUGCUGCAACUGGCCUGGGAAACUGGGCUCUGCUGGGAUGUUUUUAAGGGACUUUCCCGUCUCCAGGUUCUGUUUCUGAAUGAUAACUACCUUAAUUUUCUCCCACCUGGGGUAUUUAGUGAGCUGACUUCACUAAGAGGACUCAGCCUCAGCUCCAACAGGCUGACAUCUCUCCCUGCCGGCAGUUUUCAGCCAACUUGGAGUCCUUGGAUCUCUCUCUCUGAAACCAGCUCCUCUCUCCAGAUCCCAGCUUGUUUGCAUCACUGCAUUUCCUGGACAUAACCCAUAACAAGUUCAUCUGUGAGUGCGAGCUGACCACAUUUAUCAGAUGGCUCAACCAUACCAGUGUCACUCUUGAGGGGUCUCCUGAGGAUGUGUCCUGUGCAUACCCCGCCUGGCUCUCAGAUGUGCCCCUCUAUUCUCUCUCCACGGAGGGCUGUGAUGAAGAGGAAGCCUUGAAGUCUGUGCAGCUUUCUCUCUUCAUCACGUCUGCUGUCACCGUGACUCUGUUCCUCACAACUAUCCUCGUGGUCACAAAGCUCCGGGGUUUUGUUUCCUGUGCUACAAGACAGUGCAGAGCCUGGUGUUGGGCGACCGACCCCUGAGAAGAGACCCCAACACGUUCAAAUACGAUGCCUAUUUCUGCUUCAGUAGCAAAGACUUCCUCGAAUGGGUUCAGAACGCUUUGCUUAAACAGCUGGAUGCUCAGUACAGCCACCAAAACAGACUUAACCUGUGCUUCGAAGAGCGAGACUUCAUCCCCGGGAGGACCACGCCGCCAACCUCCAGGCUGCCAUCUGGAGCAGCAGGAAGGUCGUCUGCCUGGUGAGCAGGCACUUCCUCCUUGACGGCUUGGUGCCUGGAAGCCUUAGCCUACACUCAGGGCAGGUGCUGUGUCUGACCUCCAGAGCGUGCUCGUGGUGGUAGUGGUGGGGUCGCUGUCCCAGUACGAGCUGAUGAGACAUCAGGCCAUCCGAGGAUUUGUGCAGAAGCAGCAGUACUUGAGGUGGCCUCAGGAUCUCCAGGAUGUGGGCUGGUUUCUCAGUAAAACUCACUCAGCACAUACUAAAGAAAGAGAAGGGAAGGAAGGGGAGACAGCGCCAUGCAGCUGCAGAUGGUAGCCUCCACCUCCUAGCAAAAACAGCAGCGUGCGGCAUGUCCCAAGCCACAAAAGCUCUGCUCUGUAUUUGUGCCAGCUUGUCAUCUGGGGUCCUUCCGGGGGUCUCUUCCUGCUAUGAAGACAGUGACUGUGUCUUGGUUUUUCUGUCGAUACCGUGUUUUGUCUCACUGCCCUCCAAAUGGAAAAGAACAGAUCUGGAAAACUGUAGCUGCGCCUGGCAGCUCCCGCUCACUGCUGAUUUCCUCUGACCCAGCGACGCCACUGUGUCCUGCUGUAUGAUGCGCAGUGUCCCCUGCGUGGCAGGGGCACCUCGGGAAAAGUUACAGAUGGCUCCAUGCUCUCGCUGGGCUCUGUUCAGGAACUGGCUGGGCAGAGACUCCGAGUGCUCAGUGCCCCACAAACCAACAUUGAACAGUAAACCAAGGGAAGAAGGGACGUGUGUAGGAAGACGCCCUGUGACACCAGGUACACUCGGUCUCGGGGAGGAGGUGGCCCUGGAGACGCUGGGGUGGGAAGAACCCAUUCUCCGGCCACACCACACUUCCUUGUCAGUGGGAUCUUUCAGCUGGGACUUGGGGCCUUCCCGGACCCAGCACCAACCCACCUUCUCUCUUUCCCGCCUACCACGCCUCAUUUAUCAACUAUGAGCACUGCUGUGAAAAGAAAACGGGCUCUUCUCGGGGUUCAGCUCGGCCCAGCGUGUCAGGGCAGCCGGAGCUCUCCCCACGUCACCCUCUAGCUGCAAGACCCGCACACCCCGAGGGCCCCUCUGCACCCAGUCGCCAGGCUCCGGUCUGGAUUUUUUAAUCCUAAAAGGAGCCUAUGUGCAUUUUGCAUUGUAAUCCUUUUUAUGUUUAUUACCGCAGACCUUUUUUGCAAAUACAUUAAGAAAAUUUAAACCAAAGGUGUGUCAUGAUUGCCCCUCGCUCACAUCCAGGAUGCCUCUACUGUCCCUCACCGUGACACACUCUCGUGCACACACAGACACACACAGGCCUGGCUCUCGGGACACUUCCCACCCAUGACACAGCUUGCCCCACACCUAGGGAUGGAACGGCUCCUUUGCAAACCCUCUUUCUGGAAUGUUCUCUCAUACCUUCCCGUGUUCUAUGUGUUCUUCAAGAUCCAGCCCCUACAGCCGAAGGGUCCCACUCAAAGUCCUCUCGAAUUUUUUGUGAGGACUCUGGACGCUUUAUCUGUUCUCUUCACAGUGGCAUCUGCUGCUGCUACCUCCUCUGUGAGCUGGGAGCCCUCUGGCCUGUCAGGUCCACAAGGGAAAGACACGUUCUCUGAGCCCCACCCCACACACCGUGACAGAUCACGCUCCACCUUCAGGCUGUCUAGAGCUUCCCGGCUGCACAGGUGUCUAUGGCUUCUUCCCGCCCUCCCAUCUGGCCUUCUGGCAGCUUCCUCCCAUUCCCAGUGGCCCUGAGACAUCUGUCACUGAGCUGUGACAUAGGGUUUGCCCAUGUGUUGGGUAUGAUGAGACCCCCAUGGCAGUCCCUGUCUUGCUUGUUUGUACUCCAUGCUGGAUGGUCCCCAGCCCAGCGCAUGCUCAGUAAGCACUCAGGGUGCACCGAUGCCCACCUCACUGUGUCCCUGCCGAUGCUGCUGGGCUCUCCAGGGAAGGGCAGGCCAGGCAGUCACAGGGACGGUCAUAGAGUCUGGCUGAAGGAGAAGAUCCGGGGGUAAGAGUCUCGCAGGCACAUUUCAUGCUGUGGAGCCCUGCCCAGCUGGUGGGACAGUCGCAGCCCAGACCAGCACCCCAGAGAUGGGCAGAGGGUGUGGAAGAACUGUCCCGUGAGCCUGUGAAAAUGGGGUCUUCCCAAACUGUGUACUAAGGAACACUGUCAACAAAGCAAAGCCAGGGACAGUCAGGCCACCGCUCGGAGGCACAGGAAGUCUGUGGUGCUGGAUCAGUUUCACUUAGGACACCUCUCCCAGCCACCACCCCCUGGCUGCAGAGAUGAGGACCCUCAGAACCUCCUGCAGGACUAGGACUCUGGAGGAGAGGGCAAGGCAGUGGGGCUGGGCUAACACCAGGGACCCUGCACUGGGGACCAUCACUGCGGCCCUGUUUUCCAGCCAGCCCUGCGACUGAUGCAGACACAUGUAUCCAUAGGAAUGACGGCCAGCAACAUCGAUGGCUCUUCAUGUCUGAAGAGGUCUAUGUCACAGCCUCUCCUGGCAUGUGUUGAAAGCACACACAGCGGGUGGCUCGCCUGGUGCGACACACUAAGGAAGCGCCUGCCCUCAUCUCCAGCUGGAGUGGAGGGGAGACCCGUUCCCAUCACGCACCCCAGGCACUCGGUAUCACCCGUGUCUCCAGUUCACCCAGAAACCUCUUCCGGCAAAGACCUGAAGUUUUCUUAAAAUCUCGUCAUUUGUCUUUUCUCCUGUCACUAGGAUCAGCAGCUGGAAUUCGUUUUGAAGCCAUUUCCCAAGUGUUUUCCACUUUGUUGCUACCUGGACACCCAAGGGACAGGCUGGUGGCGCCUCGUGGGAAGAGGGUCUGGCACGUGGUAGCUGGAGGUGAGGCUCCGGGAUGCCAACAAACUUGCCGGACGAGCACCGAGGUGCCAGCGGGGAGGGAGGGAAGGGCCGCGCUGCUCACUGUUCUGCAGGGUCCCUUCCCUGACCUGUAGUCCCCUGCUUUUGGGUCUGCGACAGGUAGCACACCAUGGCAGGCAGGUGUGCUGGAGCGAGAUGCCCACUGCAAGGCCGGAAAGCGGAGAAAAGACCGGAAAAGGAAGGGGCUUGGGUCUCGUGGAGCCCUCCGAGAGCACAGGCCAGGCCGGGCAGCACCCACGAGGUCCCGCCUCCCUGUGGCGCCACGGCGGGGACAACCCUUUUAACCCGGGCCUUGGGAGACAUCCCAGGGCCGAAGCUGACCAUCCGCAAGGCCAUCUCUUUGGGGUCAUGCUAAAACAGUGGGAGCUAAUCUAAGACGGCCUCCAGCUUACUGUAUUUGAAACAGAGACUAUUUAGAAACUUUAGAAUGCGUUAGGGCUGCUGAAAGCUUCAAAGGGAAUCUCACUCAUCACCCCAAAUACAGCCGACUUUGAAAAUUCCUUCUCAACCUCCUGCACCUACAGUGAAUAAUCUUUGAUAUAAUGUAAAAUGCAAGUGACUUAAGCUUGAAACGAUGGAAUAACACUGUUGGGAACACAGGUGAAAGCUAGAUGUCCAUCUACCACUAUAAAAAUUAUUAUAAAACGCUUAUAACAUGAAGUCCAGAAAUAACAUUCAAGUACAUACUUAGAAGACUGGAAAAGCCAGAAGAAAGAACUUCAGGAAUUGAUGGCGAUGGCCUGAAGGAGCUCUGCCCAGCUCUUCCACCGGAACGUCCAGAAAAGCUGGAGAAAUUAUUUUCGGAAUCUGUUUAAAGGCACUGGAGAGCUGCAAGGCCGUCAGCAGGGCCAAGGGCCAAGGGCAGAAGCGAGAGAGAGGAGCACAGUGCAAGUACGGCCUUCCGCCCGCAGAGGAGGAGCGUCACCGAGAGAGCGGGGGACGUUCUCUCUACACGCACUGAAAAGGAUUCCUAGCCGAUUAGGGACACAUGUCUACAAACCAAGAAGGAAAGGCAACGGAAAAGAAAAGUGGGCAAGAGGACUCAGAAUUUCACAAACGGAUAUCUAGUGUCCAGCAAGCAAAUGAAAAGGACUUUGACCAGUUUAGUCGUCAGAAAAAUGCAAAUUAAACCCCGUGUGCUGCCCCUACACACUGGUGAGCGGUUAAACAAGGGGGGCCAGCAGCAAAGAUGCAGAACAGCGCACCCUGCUGGCUAGUGGGGAGUGCGCAAUGGCGCCACCCGCCAAGGCUGACCUUGUGAUGGGGCGGUGUGUGCGCACAGGUGUAUGCUCCACAGAACCCAGCAUACCCCCAGAGGCCACAGCAAAAUGUUUGAGCAGCGUUACUGUGGUGGCCGACACUGGAAAUGCCCGCGUGUCUGUUAGCCGUAGAGUGGAUGGACGGGGUAGUUGGAAACUAUCAGAGAUGACAACCAGCUCCAGCUACGUGCAGCAGCACGAGUGACUGCACAAAAUGUUAGGCCACAGAGAUAAAGCAUCAUGAUCAUAUAUGGAGUGGCUCUGUCUUUCCAUGUUUCAGAAAGACAUAACUCACCUGUGGUGACCAUGGCGACGACGGUGGCCGUGGACAAGGAGGGCAGGGGGCUGAGGGGCUUCCGAGGGGCAGUUCUGCCCCAUUCUCCUUCCUGACUGGACGGUUGGUGACAGGUGAGCUCACUUGGUGAUGGUACAGGGUCAUCAAAAUAUACAGCGAACAUUUAGCUUAAAAAUGGGUUACAACAAAACACACACUGCCAUGGAUUCCCCUCACUUCCAACACGCUUAAUCCCAUUGUUCCCGCCACUUUCUGAAGCAGUUCUGCAAGUCCUCUGUUGCAAGUGUCUCUUCAUAGCUGCCCCAAUGUCCUGAUUUGGGUCAAAAUGUUUAUAGCAAUUUCUGUCCAAUAAAAAUAUGACACUGUGUCUUCAUCCACCUUAUCCACUGGCUCUGGCAUCGUGACUUCUGGCUCUUCCCCAAAGCCCAAAGUAAAAAUAACCCUAAAAGGGAAAAUGGAGGCAGCCAGGACAGCACAACUCAAGUCACUCAGGAAAGAGGACUCCAGAGCUGCUGCAGAAAGUGGCAGGAACAAUGGGCUAAGUGUAUCUGUAACGAGGGGAUGGAUUUUGAGGGGGGAUUUGUGGUAAAGUGUCUUUUACUGUAACACUUUUUUCCUAAUUUAAAUAUGAACUGUAAUUUUCAAUAAUAUAUCAUAUAUUUUAUCUGUAUCAAUUAAUUCAUUAACUUUUCUGUAGGGAUUUUUCUUCAAUUUAAAAAUAAAAAAUUUAAGGGCCGGGGAUUUAGCUCAGUGGUUUUGCCGCCUGUCCUGCAAGCACAAGGACCUGAGUUUGAUUCUCGGUACCAGAAAACAAACAAACAAACAACAAUAACAAAAUGUAAAAUCAGGAGAUUUGCUGUAGUUGUUAAAGGAAUAAAAGACACGUAGUGUUCUGACUUAUGUAGAAUGAGUGGGACACUCUCCCUCAGAUCCCUUAUUGUUCCUUAGGGGCUGCUCCUGGUGCACUGUCUCCCCUGCUUGGACCGAGCACCACUAGGAGGGUCAGAGGACUGUGGCUUCAUUGCCAGGCUUUGGUAUCUCCUCCUGUUUAACCGUGCAAGCGUUUCACUGGCAGUGCUCAAAACAGGCGAAAAGAAAUCGGUACUUACACAGAGUAGAAAUGGUAACUUCUGCCAGUGACAGAAGACAGAGAAUAGAGAAAACUAGCUAGAAUUUUCAAAUUAAACCACCAACAAAGGAAAUAAAACUACUUCAACAGAUGAAUAUACA
RNAcentral lists this long non-coding RNA (17446 nucleotides) under Heterocephalus glaber (naked mole-rat). RNAcentral describes it as "lncRNA (ENSHGLG00000045595.1)". Lineage: Eukaryota; Metazoa; Chordata; Mammalia; Rodentia; Bathyergidae. The record is from RNAcentral.